GAGGGGAAUUUUGGACAAUGGGCGCAAGCCUGAUCCAGCAAUGCCGCGUGCAGGAAGAAGGCCUUCGGGUUGUAAACUGCUUUUGUACGGAACGAAACGGUCCUGGUUAAUACCCGGGGCUAAUGACGGUACCGUAAGAAUAAGCACCGGCUAACUACGUGCCAGCAGCCGCGGUAAUACGUAGGGUGCAAGCGUUAAUCGGAAUUACUGGGCGUAAAGCGUGCGCAGGCGGUGCUGUAAGACAGGCGUGAAAUCCCCGGGCUUAACCUGGGAAUUGCGCUUGUGACUGCAGUGCUGGAGUGCGGCAGAGGGGGAUGGAAUUCCGCGUGUAGCAGUGAAAUGCGUAGAUAUGCGGAGGAACACCGAUGGCGAAGGCAAUCCCCUGGGCCUGCACUGACGCUCAUGCACGAAAGCGUGGGGAGCAAACAGGAUUAGAAACCCCUGUAGUCC
Molecule: ribosomal RNA, 450 nt
Filed under: uncultured bacterium
Lineage: Bacteria
Description: partial 16S ribosomal RNA
Rfam family: Bacterial small subunit ribosomal RNA
Source: RNAcentral